UACAGAGGGUGCGAGCGUUGUUCGGAAUUACUGGGCGUAAAGCGCGCGCAGGCGGCUUUUUAAGUCUAUGGGUGAAAGACCGGGGCUCAACCCCGUGUCAGCCCGGGAUACUGGGAGGCUAGGGACAUGUAGGGGCGAGCGGAAUUCCGGGUGUAGCGGUGGAAUGCGUAGAGAUCCGGAAGAACACCGGGGGCGAAGGCGGCUCGCUGGGCAUGGUCCGACGCUGAGGCGCGAAAGCGUGGGGAGCGAACAGGAUUAGAAACCCCCGUAGUCC
RNAcentral lists this ribosomal RNA (274 nucleotides) under uncultured bacterium. RNAcentral describes it as "partial 16S ribosomal RNA". It matches the Rfam family "Bacterial small subunit ribosomal RNA", at positions 524 to 796 of the family's 1533-position model. The record is from RNAcentral.